AAACGUAGGGGGCCAGCGUUGUCCGGAAUUACUGGGCGUAAAGCGCGCGCAGGCGGUCUAGUAAGCAGUGGGUGAAAUUCCAGGGCUCAACCCUGGGGCUGCUCGCUGAACUGCUAGACUAGAGUACGGGAGAGGGCAGUGGAAUUCCUGGUGUAGCGGUGGAAUGCGUAAAUAUCAGGAAGAACACCCGUGGCGAAGGCUGCUGCCUGGAACGUUACUGACGCUGAGGCGCGAAAGCUAGGGGAGCGAACGGGAUUAGAAACCCCAGUAGUCC
Molecule: ribosomal RNA, 274 nt
Filed under: uncultured bacterium
Lineage: Bacteria
Description: partial 16S ribosomal RNA
Rfam family: Bacterial small subunit ribosomal RNA
Source: RNAcentral